UACGUAGGGGGCUAGCGUUGUCCGGAAUCAUUGGGCGUAAAGCGCGCGUAGGCGGUCCGGUAAGUCCGCUGUGAAAGUCGGGGGCUCAACCCUCGGAUGCCGGUGGAUACUGUCGGGCUUGAGUGCGGAAGAGGCGAGUGGAAUUCCUGGUGUAGCGGUGAAAUGCGCAGAUAUCAGGAGGAACACCAAUUGCGAAGGCAGCUCUCUGGGACGGUACUGACGCUGAGACGCGAAAGCGUGGGGAGCGAACAGG
This 253-nucleotide ribosomal RNA is filed under the name uncultured bacterium. RNAcentral's name for it is "partial 16S ribosomal RNA". It matches the Rfam family "Bacterial small subunit ribosomal RNA", at positions 524 to 776 of the family's 1533-position model. The record is from RNAcentral.